AAAGUAUGUAAAAAACGAUGCGAGAGAUUUUUACUACUCUAGACCGGCGAGUGGCUGAAGUACACAUAUCAACUCAUUCAAGGGUGAAGGGUCUUUGCUUGCUUGAGUCCGCUACUAAGCUCUCGGCAGCUUCCAUGCCAUCUAGGUGUAAAAGAAAUCAACACAUGAGUUAGUUAAAACAUCAAGAGAGUGUGUUACUACCAUCCGAAUCUAAAAUUUCCUCGCCGGAAUUGCUUCCAUCUUCAUUAUGAUUCUAGGACUCGGGAGUACUUUCCCUCAUUCAUCUUGUUGUUCAGUUAAGACUUUGAGAUGCGGAUUGAGAUGCAAUUUAAAGACAUUAAUUUGCAGGAAACUAUUUGCAACACCUUCUCAAAGUCGCUUUGAGGACAGCCAAUCAUUUAACACAGUACUCCUCAGUUUGAUAGGUUGUGAACAUAAAGAUAAACAGAUGUCACCGCUUGUAACAGGAACAUUUUUUACCAGCAGAUAACUGCACAAAUACAUCCACAUGACUUGAGCAAGUUGCAUCAUCUAAAAGAUCUU
RNAcentral lists this long non-coding RNA (543 nucleotides) under Arabidopsis lyrata. RNAcentral describes it as "long non-coding RNA (ALYR_LNC000570)". The record is from RNAcentral. Lineage: Eukaryota; Viridiplantae; Streptophyta; Magnoliopsida; Brassicales; Brassicaceae.